UCCUUAUCAAGAGCGACGGAGGGAACAGGCCCUGUGAUGUCCGACAACCUGCUUUUAAGAAAGCAAGGUGCCAAAUCCUGCGGGAAAGCCGAAAGAUGAGGU
This 102-nucleotide non-coding RNA is filed under the name Clostridium sp. RNAcentral describes it as "SAM-I sequence". It matches the Rfam family "SAM riboswitch aptamer (S box leader)". Rfam says of the family: The SAM riboswitch is found upstream of a number of genes which code for proteins involved in methionine or cysteine biosynthesis in Gram-positive bacteria. The SAM riboswitch acts at the level of transcription termination control. RNAcentral also lists the same sequence under 1 other name. Lineage: Bacteria; Bacillati; Bacillota; Clostridia; Eubacteriales; Clostridiaceae. The record is from RNAcentral.